AUUGAACGCUGGCGGCAUGCCUUACACAUGCAAGUCGAACGGCAGCACGGGAGCUUGCUCCUGGUGGCGAGUGGCGAACGGGUGAGUAAUGCAUCGGAACGUGCCCUGAAGUGGGGGAUAACGUAGCGAAAGUUACGCUAAUACCGCAUAUUCUGUGAGCAGGAAAGCAGGGGAUCUUCGGACCUUGCGCUUUUGGAGCGGUCGAUGUCGGAUUAGCUAGUUGGUGGGGUAAAGGCCCACCAAGGCGACGAUCCGUAGCGGGUCUGAGAGGAUGAUCCGCCACACUGGAACUGAGACACGGUCCAGACUCCUACGGGAGGCAGCAGUGGGGAAUUUGGACAAUGGGCGCAAGCCUGAUCCAGCCAUGCCGCGUGAGUGAA
RNAcentral lists this ribosomal RNA (380 nucleotides) under uncultured bacterium. Its description in RNAcentral is "bacterial SSU rRNA". It matches the Rfam family "Bacterial small subunit ribosomal RNA", at positions 30 to 409 of the family's 1533-position model. The record is from RNAcentral.